CGGGGCUCGGCCAGGCUUGGGGCGCCGCUGGGACCGAGCGGGCCGGGCUGUGCCCGGGGAAUACCCGGGCCGGGGGUGCGGCCCCCCCCAGGAGCUGCCCCGGUGCCUGCGCGGUCGCCGUCCGGCGGCACAGCCCGUGGUGCGGGGCAGGCGGGGGCGGCGGCUCUGGCGGUGCCGAUGGGUCACCGCCCGUGUGGACCUGCCCGUGCCGGGUCCGUCCGCAUCCCCGCGGCGGGGGCGGAUUUCUGCGCCGGUGUCCCUGUGUCGGUGUGUUCCCGUGCACACGUUUUGCAGUGACUCACACACACACAGACACACACACAGACACACAGGUGCCGUUGCCAUCCAGGAAGCGCAGCUGGUUUGCCUCGCUGGCUGUUUAUUUUCAGCUCUGAGCUGGACUGUGGUUUGUUUCCGUAGGCACAGGCCAAGGCUCAGGGCUACGGUUUUUCAUCCUCGCAAGGUCCUGUGCUGCUGGGAGACGGCUUUAGAGCUGUUAACAUCCUGCGAGGGUCUUACACAGGCACCUGUGUAUGUGUGACCGUGUACUGCAUCACAAACUGGUACUUUCUCUAUGGUUUCUUUGCCUUAGUUGAGCUGCCUCUGGAAGAUUUAGACAAAUAAGGAGCAAGAAGAUAUGUAAAAGGAGAAAAUCUGGAUGAAGCCAUCCAAACAACCAAAGGUGUUAGUCAAAUUUUAGUUUACAUCAAAAUUCAUCAUGACUUUAGGAGAACAGAAGGAAGAGAACCUCUGUCAAGUUUCAAUAUAAAUAAUGAGCUGUGACUUUGGGAGCUGUAGUAGCAGGAAACUCCAGGCAGAUCUAAAAAUGAUUAAUCACAGUGAAGAAAUCAAAUGGGGAGUGUGUUUCCAGUGUGCAAAAGUGUAGUAACUUCAGGGUCUUGUCGAUAGAAAUCAAUGUACAUCUUGUGGCGUCUGACACUUCACGACAGAAAACCUGUGUGAGGGCUCUGGCAAGAACUGGCAGUGACUGGGAGCUUGUUUGGAAAAUGGCUCUAUCCCAUCCCACUCCCGAGGGCUCGCUGUGGAAGGUGACCGGCUCGGAGGAGCUCUGCUCCCCGAGGGUUUGGAGCAGCCACUAGGUGACAAUGUCGGGCUGGUUUCAGAGCCGUCUGACAAAGCUGUUCCUGGAGGCAAAGGAAACCCUCCAGGGCCUCUGAGGUCCUGCCUGUGCUCAGUUUGUGUUCUCUUACGGACUGAGAUUGCCCCUUUUCCUUCAGGUUGUAAUUACUGCUGGUUUAGUUUUGGUCUUCCAAUAAUUCAGAUUUUGGUAAGUGCAUCUGAAAAUUAAAUGACUGGUUUCUGCAGUUGCCUUGCAGACUCAGGGAAGUCAAACAUGGCCUCACUUCUAAGUGCUCUGCUGUCUUGAGGGCAGGCUUGGAUGGUGUGGCCAUUGCCACUUAGUUCUGCUGCUUUGCACUACUAUUGAUAGGAGAGGGUUACAAAGGUGGGUUUUAUUUGGAUGUGUCAGGUUCCAUAGUCCUUCUCUGUGGUCAUAAGAGACAAGGUAUGUAUCCUAGUCAAAACCUAAAUUAUUAAUUUAGAGGAAAACCCCUUUUGACUCCUAAAGAGGAGACAAGGAAAACAAUUCAAGGAGCUAUAGGGAGGCUGUGAUCCAUCCAUGCUGACACUUCCUUUCCUAGAGAUCAAGGCCAUUAAAGGGCUUCAUGAGAAUUUUUUUCCCCUGGACUAAGAUGAAUGCCCUGGAUUUCCUAUUCCUUAAUAUUCUUCCAAGGGAAGAGGCCUCAAUCCACUUUUUCCAGACAAUGUCCUUAUGAAAUCAGCACCAUUCCACUCCCAGCUGCAGGUUGUCCAAGGCCUGGUGGUCAGACGAGGAAGUGCCAAGCAAACCCAAAUGAAUCGACCGAGCUUCUGGGAGGCAGCUCAGAUUUAUUUGCCUACAGUGCCCUUGCCAUGGCAGUCGGGAGCUGUGCCUGCUGCAGUGACAUCAGCACUGCUGCCCGGGGUGUCAUAGUUUGAAAUUGGCCCCCUUGAGAGUUCGAGGGGCUCAGAGGUGUUUGGGUGCCAGGGCAGUGUUCCCUGGAGAGCCAGUCACUGUCCAUGUCGUUCGCUUCUGCUCAAAAUCACAUAUCACAGCACGGGAAGCUGUUGGCAGGGCAGUCUCGGUUGUUUUGCUGUUCGUGUCUGCUGCCUGUAGGUGGACAAGGCCAGGGGGUGGCUGGGCUCCCUCUCUUCCCCUCCGGGGGGGAGAGGGGAGCCCUGCGACCCCCCAGCUCAGCCUUUGGCUAGAGUUAGAGUCAGCAUUUGGAGUGUGUGCUGUGAAGGAAGGGAUUCACAGCACCUGAGGUAAGAGGAGAGAGGCAGGCUUUGCAGCCCAGCCUUCUUCCCCCUCCAGAAAAGGUUCUGCAGUGAAGAUGUAGAGGAGGGCUUUUCUUUCCCUCCACUGUGAGUGGAGGAGGGGCUCAGAGUUGAGCUGAGCGAGGAGACUGGGCCGUGGAGGUAGGUCUGGCACUCGGGAGGAGUCCCAGGUGAAAUUGGAGAUGAGCCAAGAGCUCGAGGGUUGCUGCUGAAGCUGAGCGGGGGCAGCCGAGAACUGAUGUGGAGGAAGGAAGAUUCCAGGCCGUGGGCGCUUGAUAAGCUGCACUGCAGCAGCCUACGGACCGAGGUGGGACACCGAGAGGGAGAUCACCAGCAGCAGGAGAGCAAGGACUCAAAGCUAUCUUCUUGGACUUCAUGAGGAGGAGAGACUACAACAAACAACUGCUGGACUUGGUGAGGAGGGGAGUGUUCAGGAGCCCAGAACACUCCCACAGCAAAAGACUGUGUUACAUGUCAGCCUUAAAGGCUGCUCCUGGACUAAAGUUAAAGGAGGGGCUUGAAAGGACUGACUGAUAGCAAUGUAAUAUAUAUAUAUAUAUAUAUAUAUAUG
Molecule: long non-coding RNA, 2908 nt
Organism: Pseudopipra pipra
Lineage: Eukaryota; Metazoa; Chordata; Aves; Passeriformes; Pipridae
Exons: 3
Source: RefSeq, a predicted model, not a curated record